AGUGAACGCUGGCGGUAGGCCUAACACAUGCAAGUCGAACGGCAGCACAGUAAGAGCUUGCUCUUACGGGUGGCGAGUGGCGGACGGGUGAGGAAUACAUCGGAAUCUACUUUUUCGUGGGGGAUAACGUAGGGAAACUUACGCUAAUACCGCAUACGACCUACGGGUGAAAGCAGGGGAUCUUCGGACCUUGCGCGAUUGAAUGAGCCGAUGUCGGAUUAGCUAGUUGGCGGGGUAAAGGCCCACCAAGGCGACGAUCCGUAGCUGGUCUGAGAGGAUGAUCAGCCACACUGGAACUGAGACACGGUCCAGACUCCUACGGGAGGCAGCAGUGGGGAAUCUUGGACAAUGGGCGCAAGCCUGAUGCAGCCAUACCGCGUGGGUGAAGAAGGCCUUCGGGUUGUAAAGCCCUUUUGUUGGGAAAGAAAAGCAGCAGGUUAAUACCCCGCUGUUCUGACGGUACCCAAAGAAUAAGCACCGGCUAACUUCGUG
This 492-nucleotide ribosomal RNA is filed under the name uncultured bacterium. RNAcentral's name for it is "partial 16S ribosomal RNA". It matches the Rfam family "Bacterial small subunit ribosomal RNA", at positions 29 to 507 of the family's 1533-position model. The record is from RNAcentral.